GACGAACGCUGGCGGCGUGCUUAACACAUGCAAGUCGAACGGAAAGGCCCGGCUCUUGUGGGUUGCUCGAUUGGCGAACGGGUGAGUAACACGUGAGUAACCUGCCCCUGACUUUGGGAUAACUUCAGGAAACAGGGGCGAAUAUCGGGUAUGAGCUUCUGCUCCAUGUUGGGGGUUGGAAAGAGUCGGCGGUUGGGGAUGGACUGGCGGCUUAUCAGCUUGUUGGGGGGGUAGUGGCGUACAAAGGCUUUGACGGGUAGCCGGCCUGAGAGGGUGAACGGCCACCUUGCGACUGAGAUACGGCCCAGACUCCUACGGGAGGCAGCAGUGGGGAGUAUUGCACAGCGGGCGGAAGCCUGAUGCAGCGACGCCGCGUGCGGGAUGACGUCCUUCGGGUUGUGAACCGCUUUCGCCUGUGACGAAGAGUGAGUGACGGUAAUGGGUAAAGAAGCAACGGCUAACUACGUG
This 468-nucleotide ribosomal RNA is filed under the name uncultured bacterium. RNAcentral describes it as "partial 16S ribosomal RNA". It matches the Rfam family "Bacterial small subunit ribosomal RNA", at positions 28 to 507 of the family's 1533-position model. The record is from RNAcentral.